RNAcentral lists this ribosomal RNA (446 nucleotides) under uncultured bacterium. RNAcentral describes it as "partial 16S ribosomal RNA". It matches the Rfam family "Bacterial small subunit ribosomal RNA", at positions 329 to 792 of the family's 1533-position model. The record is from RNAcentral.
GACCAGACUCCUACGGGAGGCAGCAGUGGGGAAUAUUGCACAAUGGGGGGAACCCUGAUGCAGCGACGCCGCAUGGGUGAAGGAGCACCUCGGUGCGUAAAGCCCUAUCGGCAGGGAAGAGACAGACGGUACCUGACUAAGAAGCCCCGGCUAACUACGUGCCAGCAGCCGCGGUAAUACGUAGGGGGCAAGCGUUAUCCGGAUUCACUGGGUGUAAAGGGAGCGUAGACGGCGACGCAAGUCUGGAGUGAAAGCCCGGGGCCCAACCCCGGGACUGCUCUGGAAACUGCGGCGCUGGGGUACGGGAGGGGCAGGCGGAAUUCCUGGUGUAGCGGUGAAAUGCGUAGAUAUCAGGAGGAACACCGGCGGCGAAGGCGGCCUGCUGGGCUUUAACUGACGCUGAAGCACGAAAGCGUGGGUAGCAAACAGGAUUAGAUACCCCAGUA